GGAGAAUAGCCCGAAGAAAUUCGGAUUAAUACUCCAUAAUACUAUGAACCGGCAUCUUUUUAUAGUUAAAGCUCCGGCGGUUAAAGAUGGGCAUGCGUACAUUAGAUUGUUGGUGAGGUAACGGCUCACCAAGUCUACGAUGUUUAGGGGGUCUGAGAGGAUGGUCCCCCACACUGGUACUGAGACACGGACCAG
Molecule: ribosomal RNA, 195 nt
Filed under: uncultured bacterium
Lineage: Bacteria
Description: partial 16S ribosomal RNA
Rfam family: Bacterial small subunit ribosomal RNA
Source: RNAcentral